Molecule: ribosomal RNA, 229 nt
Filed under: uncultured bacterium
Lineage: Bacteria
Description: partial 16S ribosomal RNA
Rfam family: Bacterial small subunit ribosomal RNA
Source: RNAcentral
UGCGUAGGCGGGGCAAUUAGUCAGUGGUGAAAUCCUGCGGCUUAACCGUAGAACUGCCAUUGAUACUGUUGCCCUUGAGUAUAGUUGAGGUGGGCGGAAUGUGUAAUGUAGCGGUGAAAUGCAUAGAGAUUACACAGAACACCAAUUGCGAAGGCAGCUCACUAAACUAUAACUGACGCUGAGGCACGAAAGCGUAGGGAGCGAACAGGAUUAGAUACCCUGGUAGUCC